This is a small nuclear RNA of Protopterus annectens (West African lungfish), 108 nucleotides long. The record is from RefSeq and is a predicted model, not a curated record. NCBI's taxonomy places the organism in Eukaryota, Metazoa, Chordata, Ceratodontiformes, Protopteridae.
GUGUGUGCGCAGCACAUAUACUAAAUUGGAACGAUACAGAGAAGAUUAACAUGGCUCCUGCACAAGGAUGACAUACAAAUAUUUUGGUGGGAGGUUGGCAUAAUGUUU